RNAcentral lists this ribosomal RNA (357 nucleotides) under uncultured bacterium. RNAcentral's name for it is "bacterial SSU rRNA". It matches the Rfam family "Bacterial small subunit ribosomal RNA", at positions 917 to 1271 of the family's 1533-position model. The record is from RNAcentral.
GGACCCGCACAAGUAGUGGAGCAUGUGGUUUAAUUCGAAGAUACGCGCAGAACCUUACCAACACUUGACAUGUUCGUCGCGACUCUAAGAGAUUAGAGUUUUCGGUUCGGCCGGACGAAACACAGGUGCUGCAUGGCUGUCGUCAGCUCGUGUCGUGAGAUGUUGGGUUAAGUCCUAUAACGAGCGCAACCCCUACCGUUAGUUGCCAGCGUGUAAAUGACGGGGACUCUAACGGAACUGCCGGUGCAAACCGUGAGGAAGGUGGGGACGACGUCAAAUCAUCACGGCCUUACGUCCUGGGCCACACACGUGCUACAAUGUAGGUACAGAGGGAAGCCACCCCGCGAGGGGAGCGGA